AGAACUGAUAAUCUGAUAGGUGGAAUGAAGGAGUAACGUCCCGAAACGCCUACCCUAAUACUCCGACAGGCAUUGGACAUAGUUCUAAUGUUUGAAGCUCGGUGAAGUCGGCUGAGAGCAACCGUAGUAUUAUGAUAAUAAUAACGAAAGCUGUCCAGAGGUGGAUGGUGUUGCCUAUAGGCCGGGGGUCUACAAA
RNAcentral lists this non-coding RNA (196 nucleotides) under uncultured Faecousia sp. Lineage: Bacteria; Bacillati; Bacillota; Clostridia; Eubacteriales; Oscillospiraceae. The record is from RNAcentral.